RNAcentral lists this non-coding RNA (46 nucleotides) under Trichobilharzia regenti. The record is from RNAcentral. Lineage: Eukaryota; Metazoa; Platyhelminthes; Trematoda; Strigeidida; Schistosomatidae.
GUAUUGAUGAGUAGUCCCAAACUAGGACGAAACAGCUGUCCAGUAC